AUUGAACGCUGGCGGCAUGCCUUACACAUGCAAGUCGAACGGUAACAGGUCUUCGGAUGCUGACGAGUGGCGAACGGGUGAGUAAUACAUCGGAACGUGCCUAGUAGUGGGGGAUAACUACUCGAAAGAGUGGCUAAUACCGCAUGAGAUCUACGGGUGAAAGCAGGGGAUCGCAAGACCUUGCGCUACUAGAGCGGCCGAUGGCAGAUUAGGUAGUUGGUGGGAUAAAAGCUUACCAAGCCGACGAUCUGUAGCUGGUCUGAGAGGACGAUCAGCCACACUGGGACUGAGACACGGCCCAGACUCCUACGGGAGGCAGCAGUGGGGAAUUUUGGACAAUGGGCGCAAGCCUGAUCCAGCAAUGCCGCGUGCAGGAUGAAGGCCUUCGGGUUGUAAACUGCUUUUGUACGGAACGAAAAGCCCCGGGUUAAUACCCUGGGGUCAUGACGGUACCGUAAGAAUAAGCACCGGCUAUCUACGUGCCAGCCGCCGCCGUAA
This 498-nucleotide ribosomal RNA is filed under the name uncultured bacterium. RNAcentral's name for it is "partial 16S ribosomal RNA". It matches the Rfam family "Bacterial small subunit ribosomal RNA", at positions 30 to 523 of the family's 1533-position model. The record is from RNAcentral.